GAUGAAGAACGUAGCGAAAUGCGAUAAGUAAUGUGAAUUGCAGAAUUCAGUGAAUCAUCGAGUCUUUGAACGCACAUUGCGCCCCCUGGUAUUCCGGGGGGCAUGCCUGUCCGAGCGUCAUUGCUGCCCUCAAGCACGGCUUGUGUGUUGGGCCCCCGUCCCCGGUCUCCCCCGGGGACGGGCCCGAAAGGCAGCGGCGGCACCGCGUCCGGUCCUCGAGCGUAUGGGGCUUUGUCACCCGCUCUGUAGGCCCGGCCGGCGCCAGCCGACACCCAACUUUAUUUCUAAGGUUGACCUCGGAUCAGGUAGGGAUACCCGCUGAACUUAAGCAUAUCAAUAAGCGGAGGA
RNAcentral lists this unclassified non-coding RNA (348 nucleotides) under soil metagenome. RNAcentral's name for it is "partial contains 5.8S ribosomal RNA, internal transcribed spacer 2, and large subunit ribosomal RNA". The stretch from base 1 to 120 matches the Rfam family "5.8S ribosomal RNA", at positions 35 to 154 of the family's 154-position model. The record is from RNAcentral.